AUGUACGACCAUAGCCUCCAGAAAACUCGGGAUCCCGUCCGCUCUCCCAUAGAUAAGCUGGAGAGCGCCAGAUUAGUAGUUGGGUCGGUGACGACCAGCGAAUCCCUGGUGUUGUACAUU
Rosellinia necatrix is the source of this 120-nucleotide ribosomal RNA. NCBI's taxonomy places the organism in Eukaryota, Fungi, Ascomycota, Sordariomycetes, Xylariales, Xylariaceae. The record is from Rfam.